UACGUAGGGUGCAAGCGUUAAUCGGAAUUACUGGGCGUAAAGCGUGCGCAGGCGGUUGCAUAAGACAGAUGUGAAAUCCCCGGGCUCAACCUGGGAACUGCGUUUGUGACUGUGCGACUGGAGUACGGUAGAGGGGGGUGGAAUUCCUGGUGUAGCAGUGAAAUGCGUAGAUAUCAGGAGGAACAUCGAUGGCGAAGGCAGCCCCCUGGACCUGUACUGACGCUCAUGCACGAAAGCGUGGGGAGCAAACAGG
RNAcentral lists this ribosomal RNA (253 nucleotides) under uncultured bacterium. RNAcentral describes it as "partial 16S ribosomal RNA". It matches the Rfam family "Bacterial small subunit ribosomal RNA", at positions 524 to 776 of the family's 1533-position model. The record is from RNAcentral.